AUCGAGACUAGAGUCACAUCCUGGCAUUUUGCAUUGUCUUGGUGUGCUAUAGUCCUCGGAGAAUGAGUACUGGUCUGUAUUCACUGCUUGUGGUGUCUCGUGCCUUAGUCAGUCACUUGAUCAGUAACAGUU
Pelodiscus sinensis (Chinese soft-shelled turtle) is the source of this 132-nucleotide small nucleolar RNA. Ensembl annotates it as small nucleolar RNA SNORA3/SNORA45 family. NCBI's taxonomy places the organism in Eukaryota, Metazoa, Chordata, Testudines, Trionychidae. The record is from Ensembl.